This 1372-nucleotide ribosomal RNA is filed under the name uncultured bacterium. Its description in RNAcentral is "bacterial SSU rRNA". It matches the Rfam family "Bacterial small subunit ribosomal RNA", at positions 28 to 1381 of the family's 1533-position model. The record is from RNAcentral.
GAUGAACGCUGGCGGCGUGCCUAAUACAUGCAAGUCGAGCGAACGGACGAGAAGCUUGCUUUUCUGAUGUUAGCGGCGGACGGGUGAGUAACACGUGGAUAACCUACCUAUAAGACUGGGAUAACUUCGGGAAACCGGAGCUAAUGCCGGAUAAUAUUUUGAACCGCAUGGUUCAAAAGUGAAAGACGGUCUUGCUGUCACUUAUAGAUGGAUCCGCGCUGCAUUAGCUAGUUGGUAAGGUAACGGCUUACCAAGGCAACGAUGCAUAGCCGACCUGAGAGGGUGAUCGGCCACACUGGAACUGAGACACGGUCCAGACUCCUACGGGAGGCAGCAGUAGGGAAUCUUCCGCAAUGGGCGAAAGCCUGACGGAGCAACGCCGCGUGAGUGAUGAAGGUCUUCGGAUCGUAAAACUCUGUUAUUAGGGAAGAACAUAUGUGUAAGUAACUGUGCACAUCUUGACGGUACCUAAUCAGAAAGCCACGGCUAACUACGUGCCAGCAGCCGCGGUAAUACGUAGGUGGCAAGCGUUAUCCGGAAUUAUUGGGCGUAAAGCGCGCGUAGGCGGUUUUUUAAGUCUGAUGUGAAAGCCCACGGCUCAACCGUGGAGGGUCAUUGGAAACUGGAAAACUUGAGUGCAGAAGAGGAAAGUGGAAUUCCAUGUGUAGCGGUGAAAUGCGCAGAGAUGUGGAGGAACACCAGUGGCGAAGGCGACUUUCUGGUCUGUAACUGACGCUGAUGUGCGAAAGCGUGGGGAUCAAACAGGAUUAGAUACCCUGGUAGUCCACGCCGUAAACGAUGAGUGCUAAGUGUUAGGGGGUUUCCGCCCCUUAGUGCUGCAGCUAACGCAUUAAGCACUCCGCCUGGGGAGUACGACCGCAAGGUUGAAACUCAAAGGAAUUGACGGGGGCCCGCACAAGCGGUGGAGCAUGUGGUUUAAUUCGAAGCAACGCGAAGAACCUUACCAAAUCUUGACAUCCUUUGACAACUCUAGAGAUAGAGCCUUCCCCUUCGGGGGACAAAGUGACAGGUGGUGCAUGGUUGUCGUCAGCUCGUGUCGUGAGAUGUUGGGUUAAGUCCCGCAACGAGCGCAACCCUUAAGCUUAGUUGCCAUCAUUAAGUUGGGCACUCUAAGUUGACUGCCGGUGACAAACCGGAGGAAGGUGGGGAUGACGUCAAAUCAUCAUGCCCCUUAUGAUUUGGGCUACACACGUGCUACAAUGGACAAUACAAAGGGCAGCGAAACCGCGAGGUCAAGCAAAUCCCAUAAAGUUGUUCUCAGUUCGGAUUGUAGUCUGCAACUCGACUACAUGAAGCUGGAAUCGCUAGUAAUCGUAGAUCAGCAUGCUACGGUGAAUACGUUCCCGGGUCU